AUGCCUUGGCAUCCUACCCACCUGACUCAAAAAACUGUGUCUUGCACUUUGGCAGGAGCCAGAGGAAUGCUUGGUUACAUGAGGACGGGUAUCCUCUCUCUGAUUUUGUGUCCAGCGUUUCCAGAGAACACAGGAAAAUGCUUCUGUCAGGCUCCAUGGAAUUGCAGAUGGAGGCUCCAGUCUACAAAGCAUCAGACCUCGUGGAUGGUUGAUCAGGAUUAUAUGCUCUGAUAUUAUGUUUCUACCAGCUGAGAAGCCCUACAUCAGGGCAAGGAGAAAUCCAGCCCCUUAAUUUGGCAGGAUGGUGCAAAGGAGAGCAUUGUUCCCUGCUUGCAGCCAGGCAGGGUUUGGCCAUGGUUCUCCUGGUGGUUCAUGCAGGGAUGGGGUGAGUAAGUAAUUCUGCAGGAUGAUAAUAAGUAGUCCUUUCGGUAAUAACUGGCUGUGAGGAAACAGAAAAAAGGAGCUUUCCAUGAUUUUUUGAGUGGAGAAAUUAUCAUUUUGUUUCUACAGUGUAGACAAGUGAGAGUUUAAAUGCAUUUCUUGCAAGCAAAGAGCUUGCAUUGAUCUCUGUGUCUGACAUGUAAUUCUGAUUUUUCUUGAUAGCAGCACUCCUGACAGUCCCUGAACACCAGCCCAUUUCUCUUUGCCAGACAGCAGGGACAUGGUAUACUCCUUUCCCAUCUGCUCCAUAGAGAGCAUAAAUGCUCCAUUAUUUGGCCAUGAAAAAGAGCAUCACUUUGUUUCUUAGUAGCUGAGUUUCUUGGCAGUUGAAACCAAGCAAAACCACUUCUUGUUUUUCCUGCUAAAGCAGAACAUAUCUGCAGGUUUCUGCUGCCAACGAAAUGUUGACCCCUCCCCAUCUCUGUGUGCAGAUGUACACAUAUCCUCCUGACAGUAUAGUGGACGAUGGGGCUGUCCUUGAGAGAUCUCACCAGCCACUGCACUAUAUUUAAAUAGCAAGCUUAGAGCUGAACAAGGAGUCUGGUAAGUAAAAUGUGUGUAAAGAAGCUGACUAUUCCCUCACAGGUUCUUAUAGACAAAAAACAAAGACAAAUAUUAAGACGAAGGAGCACAUCACAGUUCUGGGGGAAAUAACCUCGUGUUUCUCUAAAGCUUAGCAAACUUCAAGCCUCCACAUAAAGUUCAUGAACUCAUUUUUAUGGCUCAGAGACAACAUGAAGAAUAGGGUUUUAUUUUUCUACAAAAUUCCAUUCUACUGGUGUAUUUAAGCUAUACCACCCUUUUUAUUGUUUUUCCCAAGAGGAUU
Molecule: long non-coding RNA, 1267 nt
Filed under: Cyanistes caeruleus (blue tit)
Lineage: Eukaryota; Metazoa; Chordata; Aves; Passeriformes; Paridae
Description: lncRNA (ENSCCEG00000012547.1)
Source: RNAcentral